RNAcentral lists this ribosomal RNA (453 nucleotides) under uncultured Actinomyces sp. RNAcentral describes it as "bacterial SSU rRNA". It matches the Rfam family "Bacterial small subunit ribosomal RNA", at positions 952 to 1405 of the family's 1533-position model. The record is from RNAcentral. Lineage: Bacteria; Bacillati; Actinomycetota; Actinomycetes; Actinomycetales; Actinomycetaceae.
CGAUGCAACGCGAAAACCUUACCUACCCUUGACAUGUACGGAAGGCCGAAGAGAUUUGGCUGUGCUCGAAAGAGAACCGUAACACAGGUGGUGCAUGGUUGUCGUCAGCUCGUGUCGUGAGAUGUUGGGUUAAGUCCCGCAACGAGCGCAACCCUUGCCCUAUGUUGCCAGCACGUUAUGGUGGGGACUCGUGGGGACUGCCGGGGUUAACUCGGAGGAAGGUGGGGAUGACGUCAAAUCAUCAUGCCCCUUAUGUCUUGGGCUUCACGCAUGCUACAAUGGCUGGUACAGAGGGUUGCGAUACUGUGAGGUGGAGCGAAUCCCUUAAAGCCAGUCUCAGUUCGGAUUGGGGUCUGCAACUCGACCCCAUGAAGGUGGAGUCGCUAGUAAUCGCAGAUCAGCAACGCUGCGGUGAAUACGUUCUCGGGCCUUGUACACACGUCGACGCGGCCG